Anolis carolinensis (green anole) is the source of this 7497-nucleotide long non-coding RNA. RefSeq lists it as uncharacterized. The transcript has 2 exons. Lineage: Eukaryota; Metazoa; Chordata; Lepidosauria; Squamata; Anolidae. The record is from RefSeq and is a predicted model, not a curated record.
UCAAUGGUUUGCUGCAGAAAUGUUUCCAUUUCACAAACUGUUAAUUAUCUCAGAUGAGCCAAAUCCUUCUGGAAAGUCAAAGAGUGUCUAGAAUAGCAAUGCUUAAUAGAAUUGAAGCAAGACUGCAGAAAUGAAGAAACUCCGUGCUAUGCAUAGACAACUGGGCAGUCUGUGUCCUUCUGGCUCUGUUUCUCCCACAGGCAUCUUUUCCUACAGCUCUUAAUUCCAUGAGAAUGAAAUAUUUUGCCAAAGAUAAAGAAGAAUAGCUAUGGCUCAGUUAUCUGAUGAAUUGUUUGCCGAAGAUAUGGAGCAAAGACUUUUCAACAAUUUUAAUUUUGAUUCCUGAGCUUUGGCCCAAAUUAGCUAUGUGUAACUGACGUCCCUUUUACAUUUCCGAGAAUUUUUAAGUACCACUACUUUAGAUAUACUACAGGUUUAUAGUAGCCACUGAAUGAUGAUCUAUGAAGUUACUCUACAGAAACAGAACUACACCAGAGUUUGAACAGCUACUUUUAAAACUUGCUAGCUAAACUUGCAAGUUAACGAUAACCCAAGAAUUUUGCUACCAUUAUUGUUACACUUUUUUGAACAGGAAUAAUUCAUCUUUGUUUCUCAAAAGUAGCCAAAAUAGUACCUUUAACUACUUUUCAUUCAGCAAUAUGAGGCAUAACACUAUAUGAUGUCAUAUCCCCUCCCCACAUUAAGUGAUGCCACACUAUAUAAUCAUAAAAGUUACAGUUGCACUUAAAAAGAAGGGAAAUUAUUUCUUACUACAUUUUCAUAAUACUCCUUUGUUUUGGCAGGAAAAUUAAUUAACUGCAAAUGGCUAAUGAUAUCUUGAUGAAAGUAGGAUAGGAAUUAGCACUUCAAGGAAAAUCGAAUUAUGUAUGCCAUUCCAUAUAGAAAGCAGUACUGCUAAAGUGUGCAUAGUUACCAAAGACAAAAACUUUUCAAAAAUAUAAAAGAUUCAAAAUAUUGCUGCUACAUUUCUGCUCUUUGCCAUACCUGGCUAGAUAUCACCAUGCAAAACCUAGAUAUGCAAUGCAAUGACGUUUUUAAAAAGUUCUAAAAUCUAACUGCAAAUAUGUUUUUUUCUUAAACAGAACUAAAAUAUCACAAGUUAUACCCAUAGGUCACUGUUUCUCAACCUGUGCAUCCCCAGAUGUUUUGGGCUUCAAUUCUCAGAAAUCCUAACAGCUGGUAAACUGGCUGGAAUUUCUGGGACUUAUAGGCCAAAAACAUCUGGGGACCCCAGGUUGAGAACCACUGUCAUAGGUGAUACUAGUGCAUCCAUAUUCUAUACAAUAAUCACAACAGAAACAAUGGACUUUAUUGCAAAACAGCACUGAAACAGGGCUGUCAUUUAUUGCAUGAUGCUGCGAGCAUCCCACUUGCCGUCUGCCUCCUCCCUGCAAUGAAACAAUGGGAUUCACCUCCUCCCUGUACAGUAAUAUUUGGCUUUAAUAAAAUUAACACUUGCUGGAACUGCAAAAUGGCUGAAGAAGAAGAAGAACUCCUUUUUGAUGGCAAUUCUGUGGGGAGAUUUUAGUUAUUUAAAAUAAGCUUUCAAAGCAAUGCUCGUUUUUGUAUUAUUAUAAAGCAGGGAGUGACAGUACACAGGCAAAGAAGCUAAACUCCCCUUAGGUCUGACAUUUAUCUCCCUGUAGCAUCCCUACUCCACACCCCUAGUAUUUUUUCCAUUCAAGUCAACUUCCAGUAUCAAAAGUUGAUUAAGGCAAUAACCUACAGAUGGAACUAAUGGCAGGAGUGAUAGGAAACAGGCAUCACCUUUAUAUUACAUCCUAAUCUUUCACCUUCAGAAGGGAAGGCCCUUCUUGCCAUCACACCCUAAGUGAGGCAGAACAGAAUGCACACUCAGUAGUUAAUUGAAACAAAAGUCCUCACCAAUGGCCUCCAGUAUGAGUGUGUAAGAUGGCAUGGUUUCUCGAUCAAGGUUGACGACUGUCCUGACUACUCCAUCUCUAAAACCAACACUGAACUUUCCAUCCUGAUUCCCACCUAUAGAAAGAAAAGGAAGAGAAAAAAAGAAGAGGAGAAAAAGAUGAUUUCAACAAACAAUGGGCGGAAAAGAUAAGCACACUUAUACAAUACUUAUUUUAUUUAUUCACACACACUUCAUUUUGGCAUUUCAACCUGAGAUACUAAAAUUAAGCCACAUGAAGCAAAUUUAUAUUCCUGGUUCCUUCAUUUCUAGACAUAUCUAGUUGUAGGUGUAUAUCUGGCUGGAUUGGACAAUACUAUCUAUACAUACAUUAUGUUAUUUCACAGAUGUAGUGUUCGAAGUGAAUGAUUAUAAGAAUGAUCCUACCUUCUUGUGGCACCUGAAAAGUUUUAAAUAUUCAGCACUAGCUUUGUGUUAAUGAUGAUGGGAGUUGUGCAGCCUUCCACUUGUUACAGAAAUGCAACUCCCAGCACUUUUUUGCUGUUGUGUUUUCCUAGCUAGGGCUGACGGGAAUGACUAUUUGCCAGUAUCUGAAUGGCUGUACAUUUCUCACCCCAGGUCUAAGACUUAGUUGCAAAUAGAACAGACGUAAUCAGUUGAUGGAACAUACCAUAGAUAAUGACUACCUUUGAGUUCUCACUGAUUUGACUGAGACUAUUUAGGAAGCUAAAUUCAAAUUCUUUUUUUACAUUUUAGUUUCUCAUAAAACCAUAGUUUUUGAAUUUUCUAAAAAUAUUUGGCCUUUUUACAAUCUUAUUAUUUUCAUCUUUUUUGGCGUGGGAGCUCUGAAAGCUAAAUAGGUGUGAAACUGGUUUCAAUCUGUAGGAUGCAAAGACAUGCACAUCCUUAAUGGACUGGGUUCUGCCAGUACUGCCUAAAACCUUUACAAAAUAUAAAUUUAUUGAAGAGUUCAGAGUGGAUUGUGUGUGGGAACGAGUCUCAGAUUUUUACCUAAAUUCCAUUUUUAAAUACAUGCUGAACAGAAAAUAUUCAGGUUCCAAAGACCAAAUGAAGACCCUCCCCCCACCCCAAAAAAUGCAUCUCUGCCAGAGUUGCUUUAUUAUGCAAAUGAUAAAAUUAAACUCUAAUUGCUCUGUAGAUUUUUCAUGUUGUGAACUAAUAUAGCUUCCUUUUAUCCAUAUUAAGUAUAUUCACUCUUGGAGAAGGCUACUAUCAGGAUAUUUAUUAUUGGUAAAACUGACAAAGCCACAUGUGAGUAUUCCUUGUACAAAACAACCCCUAUGAAAUUCAACAGGCAAUUUGAAGGCUCUUUUUCUCUGUUUCUGUUUCUGUUUUGCUCUCUCUCCCACACACACACACAAACACACACACACCGAGAUACACAAGAUGCAUGGUGUCUCUGCAGACUCUGGGCAGCAGAGGGCGAGAAUGGACAAUUUUUGGAGCCUUUGCAAAUAAUGUAUGUUACACACCGGAUGGCUAGUCCAUGUAGACACUAACCCAUUUUAAAGUAGAAACCAGCAAAUAAAAUGUAUUUAUUUAGCAUAAGAUCCAGCCAAAGUUGUAGGCAGAAAAUCAGAUUUUGAGAAGCCACUCUUAUUACCCUAAUUCAGGCAAACUUUGUUUAGGGAGACCCUGUGAGGAAAUAAAGAGUUGACUAUUUUAGAGUAAAAUGUGUACAUUAGAAUGCUGCAUGCAACAAACAAUGACAUGUAUGGUGUUCUGUGCACCAUGACACCAUGGGCAAUUGCUCAAAGAUGUUGAGCAGGGUGGGGAAAAUAUGGUCCAUGGGUGACAUGCAGUUUUUUCAGGUUUCCCUAAAACUCACAAAUGCUCUUUUUUAACCCCCUCCCCCUUCACACCCAACAUUUCCUAGAAUAUAGGUGAGGAAAGAGAAGCCUGCAAGUGUUAUUUUUGUGGUAAUCAGGAUUUAAAAAUCCAUAUUAAAAAUGCCAACUUUACCCCCUCCCUGAAAGGUUUCCAAAUUAUUUCGUUUCAAAAGCCCUCCAAAUGCCCCAAAUGAUCUUUGUGGUUGUAGAGGGCAUUUCCACAUGUUUGAUGCCCUCCAGUGCCUCCUGUGUUUGAAAACAAAAUAUGGUGCUUUUUAAAAAAAAAGAAAGAAAUAAGGUAAAGGUAAAGGUUUCCCCUGACGUUAAGUCCAGUUGUGACCGACUCUGGGGUUGGUGCUCAUCUCCAUUUCUAAGCCGAAGAGCCGGCGUUGUCCGUAGACACCUCCAAGGUCAUGUGACCGGCAUGACUGCAUGGAGCGCUGUUACCUUCCUGCCGGAGUGGUACCUAUUUAUCUACUCACAUUUGCAUGUUUUUGAACUGCUAGGUUGGCAGGAGAAGAAAUAAAUACUUUUCUCAAAUUGUCUCAAAAAUGCUAAAGGCCCAGAAAGCACUUUCCAAAUGCCGCAGUGUUCCAUAGAAUGUGUUUGGGGAGGAGGAAGAUAAUAUUAUUUGUGGAAAAAGGCACAGUUUUCAAAGGUAUCUUGAAGGGCUAAUGAAGGGCCUGCUCUCCCAGUUGCCCACUCCUGCCACCCUUCCCCUUAAAACAUUUGAGAUGAUCCAAAACACAGAGAAGUUCCAUGGAGGAUCAGUGUCACCAUCCAGUCCUCUACAGUUGCUUACCACUGAUAUAGAAAGUUUUAGAAAGAGCCUUGUUUAAUAAGGCUUAUCUCAGAUCUCUAUCAUCAUAUUUCUGGACCUGUUUUGGAAGCACUGCCCAAUAUACUAAGUCAUCCUUUUAUGCUGCAAACAUCACAUGCAAGCUAUACAACCAAAGUAAAUGAAGACACAAUCCUGAAACAUCUACUAAAACAGUAGCUCUUUAUAAAGGAAUGCCUGUUUUCAUGCCUUUGUCUACAUCAGAAUACAAUGUACCUGGCAGUGGCUACACAUCACCAAACACUGCAAAUGAGUUCAGCCACAAUGCCUUUCUCAAACUGUCAUAUCCACAUUCACCAGACAUAAGGCAGCUGAUGACUCUUUCAGUCUGAUGAGGCAUAGAUAAUUCUCAGGAGCAAACAACCCAAAACAGUUCUGCUAUCAUUUGCAAAGCAUCAUAGGAAAGCAUAUGCAAAUCCCCAUGCAAAUUAGCCUUGCAAACCUAACAACAGGAUGAAAAGCCCCUUUGGCUGUCACAUUUGCAUACAUUUUACCUAUACUCAGCAUCGCAGUGCCAAACCAUAUUGCUGGUAGGAAAGGGUGGAUGGGACGUCUUGUUCACAGACCAUGAAAGAAAUGCUACUUCAGAUGGAAAGAUAGAGAAAAGGAAUUGAGUUGGAGGAGGAAUUGGAACUGCUAUCACCCAUUGCCAGCAUGUAUGGAGGAGAAGAGAGAACAGAAGGCACCUCAUAAGAGAUGGAGAAGAAUUAGGUGAUGGCCACUUUGCAUGUUGUAAAAGGGAGGAAGAUGAUGGGGCACUGAGUCUUGAAUCAACCAGGAUUUUAUACAGUGGUUAUAGGAUUUGAUACCAUUAGAGUGUCACCCACCUCAGCCUUUGGGAUGGGGCUAGCUAUACAUUUGGGGGGGGGGGGGGGAACAAAAGAAGAAAAACAGAGUGCUCUCCACUACCUGUAAGCUAAGUAUCUUAUAAUUCCAAGGUGUGUCAACAGCUACAUAACCUGUUAGAAAGUGUUGGUACCUGUAAUGAAAUAGCUGAGCUCAGCAUUGAGACCUGUAUCCGCAUCAGUACAAUUCAAACGAACCACUUUAAAAUCACGAGGUAUAUUUUCUGGAAGCGACACGUUGUAGACGACUGGGAAGAAGGUGGGGUUCUCAUCAUUCACAUCUAAAACUACAAGAGAGAAUAUGAUCAAGGCUGACUCUGGGUUAUGCCCACAAGCUUUACCAAGCAUUCUUAAAAAGCAGGUUUGACACCACUGCUGGUUUUCAAUAUUCAGUUUUAACAUUUGGAUUACCAUAGGGCGUCAACUAGGGAACAGAUUUUUUCCAGACUGGCUGUCUUGUAAAGAAAGCCUAUUCAGGAAAGCAGCAGAGUGGGGAAUACAGUUAAGUUGGCAAAAGGUUAAAAGAUGUGGGAAGACCUGCACAUCCAUUUUUUAAAAUACAUAACAACCCCUUAUUCCUAUAUAUUUGAAGCAAAAGGAUAUCCCCUUCCACCAGCACAUGGCAAAAAUGGAAAUAACAGAACAGAAUCCCUUUCCUAGAUGGGCAGCAGACUGCAUUUUUCUAGAAAAUUUCUGAAAUCAAGCACGUGCUAAGGUACAAUAUGUAAACACACCAGGAUGGAGAUAUCAACAUAUGCUAACAAUAAUCACAGUGAUUCUAAUGAUACAAUUAAUACACAAGCAUUCAAAGCAUUAUCAGGUGAGCAAAGCCAAUAGCUUCUAAUGAAAAAUUCUUACACUUUGACAGUAGCAUGACAGUUGCAGAAGAACUUCUUCCUAAGUGGCUGGCUCCGUUGACAUUGCCACAUAAUAAAGUUUCCAAACUGAAUUAUAUAACAGUGUAGUGGAGCUGCUGAAUGAUAAAUGUAUAAGUAUUGGCAGACAAAGCCUUUUCUAUUUAAACAAGCCUCACCAGAAUAGAGGGAUAUGCAAUUGGAUGUGAUGUUUUCAGUAUGCAGAAUGCAUCUCAACUGUUUUGAGGGUUUUACAGAUAAGGUCUUAAAAGUUAUGUAUGGUGUAAUGUUUUAUAAAUAUUUGUAUUCCACAUUGUUUUGGGCACUAUCUUUUAAUUUAUAUCAUUAGCUACCUUUACGUUUUAGGAAGAAAUGGGAUAUAAACCAGUCAACCUAAAAAUACAUAAAUAUCAGGCCAUUUGUAAUGCCGCAACUCAGAGAUGGUGUGGCAAAUUAUUUCCUCAGCCUAUCAGAGAUGCCACCAUGUCAAUGUUCCUGAAUAUGGUUAUUGUGGUGGUGGUGGAGUCCCAUAAUUUAACUUUACAGAAAUAUACAUAUAGAACACCCAGCUUAUUUUCUAGCUGAUUGGCACCACAAAUAGUCUUCAAAUAGUUGAAAAAUAAGAACACUACCAGCCUGAUAUCUUUCAAAGUUUUUUGUUGUUAUUGUUGUUACUUUUUGUCAUCAUCACAGCACUAUAUGAUAUGCACCCCAAACUAAUAGAUAUUUGGAAGAUAUUAGAAAGUCUCUGCACGCACUGUUGGUUUGACAGGGGCUGGUCAACUGGAUUAUCAGAGAAACUGACAUAUAAAUUGAGGGCAGCAAAAGGGGAAUGUGAAAAAGACAAGUUGACUGCAGUGAGGCAUCUGUUCAUUUUAUUUGCAAACAAAGACUCAUUGCUGCACAACCCAUCUGUACAAAAUGUGAAAUUCUGGAAGAGUGAUUUUUAACUGUUGAACUUUCUUUUUCCCAUAGGCUUAAAUUUUGAUGGAUUCCCACACUGUGAAUUAACUUUUUCUUCUACAAUGUCUUGCAGAACUGUUCAUCGCACAAUGAUUUUCCCCCUUAAUGAUGUUGUGCUACAACCUGGAAUUGAACUGGAUUUAAUUGGCAUUGUUAUGAUUUAAUGUACCUCAGAUACUCAAUGAUAUGUAAAAGCAGACUUAUUGAGGCACAAAAACGAAGUAAAUAAAAACCUCUACCUUAA